This 512-nucleotide ribosomal RNA is filed under the name uncultured bacterium. RNAcentral's name for it is "partial 16S ribosomal RNA". It matches the Rfam family "Bacterial small subunit ribosomal RNA", at positions 28 to 523 of the family's 1533-position model. The record is from RNAcentral.
GACGAACGCUGGCGGCGUGCCUAAUACAUGCAAGUCGAGCGGAUUGAUGGGAGCUUGCUCCCUGAUAUCAGCGGCGGACGGGUGAGUAGCACGUGGGCAACCUGCCUAUAAGACUGGGAUAACUUCGGGAAACCGGAGCUAAUACCGGAUAAUCCCUUUCCUCUCAUGAGGAAAGGCUGAAAGAUGGUUUACGCUAUCACUUAUAGAUGGGCUCGCGGCGCAUUAGCUAGUUGGUGAGGUAACGGCUCACCAAGGCAACGAUGCGUAGCCGACCUGAGAGGGUGAUCGGCCACACUGGGACUGAGACACGGCCCAGACUCCUACGGGAGGCAGCAGUAGGGAAUCUUCCGCAAUGGACGAAAGUCUGACGGAGCAACGCCGCGUGAGUGAUGAAGGUUUUCGGAUCGUAAAACUCUGUUGUUAGGGAAGAACAAGUACGAGAGUAACUGCUCGUACCUUGACGGUACCUAACCAGAAAGCCACGGCUAACUACGUGCCAGCCGCCGCAGUAA